RNAcentral lists this long non-coding RNA (711 nucleotides) under Oryza sativa Indica Group (long-grained rice). Its description in RNAcentral is "lncRNA OsMH63_01G008260". The record is from RNAcentral. Lineage: Eukaryota; Viridiplantae; Streptophyta; Magnoliopsida; Poales; Poaceae.
UGGCUUGAGCUUCUGGAACCACUCCAGCUGCACGCUCAGGGAGAUGUUCAACGGGGGCACGUUGGUGAUGUUGUUCUUGAGGAAGAAGGCGAGAUCAAGAGCGCUGGCACCGACGACGGCGAAGUUAGCGCCAUGGGUGAAGUUCUGACGACCUUGGCCAAGAAACGGUGGUACGAACGGCACAUGAAACUCGUCAGCUGCAAACUCGUCGUCCGCCUGCACCGCAGCGGGUUCCUUCCCAAGAACCUCCUCUCCAGCUGCUCUCUCACCGUGGUCUCCCUCGACUCAUGCGCGUUGCCUCACCGUGAUCACACCGCCGUGUUGCCGGAUUGGGGAAGAAAAGGAGGCGGGGAGAUUGGGGAGGAGGAGAAGGAGAAGUGGGUCCCGGCCGUGCUGCUCGGCCACGUGCAGCCGUCGAGGGCGGUGGGGAGACCGGCGGCGAGAGACAGGGAGGUAGGAGGCGGGGUUGGCGAGGAGGACCGGGAGGCCGGCGAGCUGAUAAAAGAGGAUGUCGAGGUCAAUGGGAAAGGUUUGAGCUUGUGGAACCACUCCAGCUGCACGCUGAGGGAGGUGUUGAAUGGUGGGACGCUGGUGAUGUUGUUGUGGAGGAAGAAGGCUAGAUCGAGGGCGCUGGCGCCGACGACGGCGAAGUUGGCGCCAUGGGUGAAGUCCUCACCUUGGCCAAGAGAUGGUGGGACGAAUGGGACCUGA